UACGAAGGGGGCUAGCGUUGCUCGGAAUCACUGGGCGUAAAGCGCACGUAGGCGGAUCUUUAAGUCAGGGGUGAAAUCCUGGAGCUCAACUCCAGAACUGCCUUUGAUACUGGGGAUCUCGAGUCCGGGAGAGGUGAGUGGAACUGCGAGUGUAGAGGUGAAAUUCGUAGAUAUUCGCAAGAACACCAGUGGCGAAGGCGGCUCACUGGCCCGGUACUGACGCUGAGGAGCGAAAGCAUGGGGAGCGAACAGG
RNAcentral lists this ribosomal RNA (253 nucleotides) under uncultured bacterium. RNAcentral's name for it is "partial 16S ribosomal RNA". It matches the Rfam family "Bacterial small subunit ribosomal RNA", at positions 524 to 776 of the family's 1533-position model. The record is from RNAcentral.